This 380-nucleotide ribosomal RNA is filed under the name uncultured Synergistaceae bacterium. Its description in RNAcentral is "bacterial SSU rRNA". It matches the Rfam family "Bacterial small subunit ribosomal RNA", at positions 1006 to 1382 of the family's 1533-position model. The record is from RNAcentral. Lineage: Bacteria; Thermotogati; Synergistota; Synergistia; Synergistales; Synergistaceae.
AGGACGCAUCCUUCGGGAAGCGAGCGUACACAGGUGCUGCAUGGCUGUCGUCAGCUCGUAUCGUGAGAUGUUGGGUUAAGUCCCCGCAACGAGCGCAACCCCUGCAUUCAGUUGCCAUCGGGUAAUGCCGGGCACUCUGGAAGGACUGCCAUCGACAAGAUGGAGGAAGGUGGGGAUGACGUCAAGUCAUCAUGGCCCUUAUGUCCAGGGCGACACACGUGCUACAAUGGCCGGCACAACGGGAAGCGAGUUCGCGAGGACGAGCGGAUCCCUCAAAGCCGGUCGCAGUUCGGAUUGAAGUCUGCAACUCGACUUCAUGAAGCUGGAAUCGCUAGUAAUCGUGGAUCAGCCAAGCCGCGGUGAAUACGUUCCCGGGCCUU